Long non-coding RNA from Oreochromis niloticus (Nile tilapia), 2043 nucleotides. RefSeq lists it as uncharacterized. The record is from RefSeq and is a predicted model, not a curated record. The transcript has 2 exons. NCBI's taxonomy places the organism in Eukaryota, Metazoa, Chordata, Actinopteri, Cichliformes, Cichlidae.
ACAAAGCAGUGUUGGCAUGUCUCGUCUUUGUCGCCACUGCACUAUUGUUCUGUGUGUUUUCUCUCAAAGCCCACAUGUCUGCAAUAAUGAUAGAUUUCCUCCAAGCAACAGUUGCUCUUUUGUUCUGGGAUGAGGCCGCUGUUAAUGGCAUAGUAUUAAGAGUGCCUCAAAGCCACAGCUGUGAUUCUGGAGCCUCUCGCUCCUCCUGAUUGAACCACCUGCGAGCCAUCAGCCUGCAGCCUAAUCAACCACUGUCCAAAAGGACCAGCACUGCCAUCAACACCUCGUCAGAUUAUCAGCUUACUCAGCAUGGCAAAUAGACCAGUUUGCUUAUGCUUUCUCAUGCUAAUCAUUCUGUGUGUAUUCCUGUUAAGUUAAUCCUUGCUCAUGCAUUUCUCCUGACCAUAGCAUGGAUAUGUAGUCUUUAAUUAAACAUAGGUUUUAUUGGUAAAGGGAAACAUGUUAUAAUAAAUGUCUGUUUUUAUAGAGCUAUUUGCAUGUUGGUCAUCUAGGUUUUAAACAUUUAAACAUAGUUUUGAAGGGAUGAGACAUUUUAAAUAAGGAAUACAGGUUCCCACUAUGAAUAGAAACAAAUUGGAUCCUGAUGGGAUGAGUUGGGAAAUGACUGGAGCUGACCUCUGAGAAUGAUUGAGCUAAUUUUCAGUGGAAAAUAUGUCAAGGUUCAGACUUUGAAUUUUCAGACAACUGUAGCUAUCAAAAUGAUAUUUGAUGUAAUUGAAUAUCAAUUUGAGCACAUUUCAAAAUUAAAUGUUUUGAACACUAAACUGUCUGCAGAUGCAUUUAAAAAGUUACUUUAAAAUUCAAGGUUUUUCCUUCAGACUCCACCGACUCUUUAAAACAGCUGCAGACAUUUUCAUACAGAAAAAAAGCUUUUAAUUCAUUUGUUGUUUUAUGUAUUAUUCUGUUGCUUUACCUUGUUUUAUAUAAUGAUUUUAUUUCUUAUUUUACUGUUAAGCACUUUGUGAUUUUAAUCUGUAAAAAGUGCUUCAUGAAUACAUUUUACUUAGUUGCUGAAUGAUAAUAUCAGUAUCACUGCCCCAUCAUUAAAACAAGAGCAGACCAGAGACUAUAAUUGCUGUAAUUGCAACCCUCGUGGCAUUAAAAGUUGGGAGAGGUAAAAAAAAAAGAAAUUUAAAACAUUCUAAAAUCGGAUAACUUGCAAAUCCUGUAAGGUCAAAAGCCACAAAGGUGACAAAGAUAAAUGGCUCUGUUCACUUAGAUCUAUAUCUCUAAUAUGGAUGCUUGUCAGGGAAAGUUAGAGGUCUCAAAAAACUCUUAGAUUCUUCAGAUACCUUCUCGCUAUCUGUGCACCAACUUUCAUGGUGACCUCUUGGACUGGUGUUGCCACUUUUCACAGAACUAAUUGGUGGUGCUUAUUUUAUUAGCACUGAUCUGCUGUGUUGAACAAAGUUUCUGCAUUGCUCUUCAUUCAGUUGACACUAACUGCACUUACUGUUCUGUUUAUGUUUCUCAUUUAUUUGUUAUCAAUAUUUAUUCUUUGUUCACACAUCAUGUCAAGUAUGCCUUGACAUGCUGAAAGUGGGAUCUCUGCCAGUGCAGCCUUGGCAAGAUGUCUGUUCUAUAAUGAGAUUUUGUGGGAGUACAUCGGCUUUUCUAAUAAGAUGCGUUGCUUUUACACACUUACAGAAACUUUGAGUGCUUUACACAGAUAAAUACUACUUUACAUCCAAUCAAAUGUAAUUAUGAUUAUGAUAAUGAUGUCUGCUUCUUCUUUUGAUGGAUCCCUUUGAGGGUUGCCGUGUUCCCAGCGUCCUCUGCUCAAAAAUGUGUUCAUCACUCUCUUAAAUAUUUCACCUUCACUGUGCAGAACACGUUUAAUACUGGAAAGUGAAUUCUUCUGCUGAAGGUCUGAGGUUUGUCUGUAAUGCUGUCAUGAAGCUGUGAGGAACAAGGUACCGUAUAGUAACAGGUUAAUACAAUAAAUAGAAUAAAGUACAAUAAAGACAGACAUCACAUAGCAGUUCUUUUGAGUUUCCCCAUAAUAAAUGUCACAAGAUUUUU